UCUCGCUUCUGCCCCUCCGCGGGCGCCAUAUUCCAAACUUGCUGGGCCCCAGCCUGACGUGACAAGCUCCCUCCCCGGAGUGAAGAUACAAUGAGUGGAGACCCAUGGCCUGCGCCAUGCCACAGUGCGGCUCCCCACGGAGGAGGACUCCAUAGUAGGCUGAAGCCAUCGGGCCUCCCGGGAGCCUGUUUGGCAGCCUAAGAACUUUCCAGGCUCAUUUCAGCAGCGUGUGGACAGAGCCCCACAGGGAAACCCACGCACGAGAGCUGGAUCCUGUUCCCGUCUGGCCCUGAGGUUGAUUCCAUAGAUGACUGUGAAAACAGAUGGGGAGAGAACAGUCAGCUCGUUCUUACCACAGAAGCGAGAAGACUUACUUUCUCCCCCCUUGAGAACUGUCAUCCGGAGAUGGGAAUUCCCAUCCGUCUUCUGCUAAUUCUCUUGUUCUGUGGCCUUACGCAAGUCACUUGGCUUCUCUGUAGCUCAGUUUCCUCUCCCGCGGAAGGAGAGUUGGUGGUCUGAACUUGACUCUAGGUCAGUGAGGCUGAAGCCCGCCCUUUACAACCAGCUGGGGGAAGUUUUGUCAGCCAGCCUCUGUGCCAGGCCUAUGACACGAGAAUGUGUGGGAGGCAGACCCAGGUGAUGCCCAGGCCUUGGGGAGGAGGUGGGGGGGAUCCUGGAGUGGAUGGCUCCCCCCUCGUCUCUCAGCCCUGACUCCCCAUGCCCAUCCCUGUCCUAUGAGCCACAGCUUCUUUUCCUGACUCAAGGAUGGAUGUGCUUAAGCCCCAAGCCCCCGAGAGGGAGCUUUCUCAUCCUGCUUCCGUGGGCAUCCUCUGGGGACAGGCCCUGAGGACAUCUGAAGGCCUCUGUCAAGAGAUGGUGACAACAAAGCUCUGUACUUAAGAGUUUCCAAAAGGGAGAAUUCCUGCCAGUCAUAAAUUACCCCCUCUGACGCUGAUGAUUUUUCUGUUGUUAGGGAUGAUUAUUUGCAUGGAGGCAGGAAGCAUGGCCCCGCUGUUCUUUCUCUGCUGGCUGAGAAGCAGGACAUCUGCCAAACCCCGAGUCACCUCGCUUCGGACAUUGGGAGGAGCCUCCCUCAGGGGCUCCUGCACCCUCCUAAGCCUGCCUUCCAGGGAGAGCAGGGAGCUUCCGGUGAAAAGCAGCCUGAGAAUCCAAGGAUCACGCAGCCCCAUGCACCAGGGUCCCUGGGGAGAGAGAAGACCAACGUCAUGCCUUUGAACCUGGGUACCAGAGGAAAACAGCUGUGUGUUUGGAACAAAGGAAAACAAUCUCUGCCAGGCAAUUCCUUCCCAUGCUGGCUGCAGGCAGAGUCCAGAAGGCCAUGGGCUAGGCUGUGGUUUGUAACCUUGCAUGUGGACACAGGCCCAGAAGUUUCUUCAAAGACGCUAACAUGUUUCCAGAGAGGGUCCUGGGCCCAUUCAAACAUCCACUGAAGAGGAGGUGCCCAUCCAGCCAUCCAUGCAGCUCCUGACUUCCCUGUAUCACAAGUGAUGAGCUUAGCACGGAGCAAAGCUUAGGUGGCGACGGGUAGAUAGGUGGGUGGGAAGAGGGCAGAAAGGGGAGAGUGAGUGAGAGCAAGAAUGAGGUCUGUUUGUUUUUUUUCUCCAUAAGAGAUGCAUAUACACUCUUACAGCCCAUCAUUUAAAUCCCCUUCCAUGGUUUCAGUUUGCUACGGACUGUUCUCCAUCCCCGGUUAAGUUCUCGGCAGGCGGGGACAGCUGUGUGUAUGCGUGAACUUCACUGUGCCUCAUCCAUCCUACACAAUCAACAAAUGCUUCAUAAGUAAAUCAAAUGCCUGCCUGAUCCUCUAAAAAUGUCUUACUAUUUUCAGGCAGGUGAUUAGGGCAAAGAGCAUGCAUGGUAUAUGCACUGGGAAUCACAACAUUUUAAAUUUAAAAUAGAUGAUUUUUAGAAACCAGUAAAUGCCCAGUAGAAAAGGAAUGAGCAGUAGACAAGUGGGAAAAUCGAAGCUCUCCUCUUCCCGCAUUACAUUCCCCAGAGGGUGCCACUGUUAACAUUUCAGACUUCAUUUCUUUAAUAAAAUAAACUUUGAAUUAACUUGGUGAAAUUGACAGCUAUUAAUUUUUUUAUAAUUUAUUUUUUCAUCUUCGAAAUUGUAAUUUCCUCCAUGUCUGUUUUUUAUAUCCUCUUUGUCAUAUUUUUGUAGUCCCCCAAGUACUUGGUCAAGUUGACUUUUUUUUUAAUGCAAAAUUUAUAAACUCUGAAGCACACACAUCUUAAAUGUACCUGAGAUGACUUUUCACAAAUAUCAAAAUAAAGAAUGUUGCCAUCACCUGAAAAUAUUCUUCUAUGCUUCUUUCCAGUUAAUCCUUUCUUUCCUAGGAGCAACCACGGUUCUGAUUUUCUUCCACCAUAGAGUAGUUGUGCCUGUUCUAGAGCUUCCUAUAAACACAGGUGUACUUGUUUGUGUAUGCUUUAUUUUGCUCAGCAUAAUCCUUCUGGGAUCCGUCCUUCCUGUGUCAUCA
This 2504-nucleotide long non-coding RNA is filed under the name Zalophus californianus (California sea lion). RNAcentral's name for it is "lncRNA (ENSZCAG00015009125.1)". The record is from RNAcentral. Lineage: Eukaryota; Metazoa; Chordata; Mammalia; Carnivora; Otariidae.